GUAGGUGGCAAGCGUUGUCCGGAAUUAUUGGGCGUAAAGCGCGCGCAGGCGGUUCUUUAAGUCUGAUGUGAAAGCCCACGGCUCAACCGUGGAGGGUCAUUGGAAACUGGAGAACUUGAGUACAGAAGAGGAAAGCGGAAUUCCACGUGUAGCGGUGAAAUGCGUAGAGAUGUGGAGGAACACCAGUGGCGAAGGCGGCUUUCUGGUCUGUAACUGACGCUGAGGCGCGAAAGCGUGGGGAGCAAACAGGGAUUAGAUACCCUGGUAGUCCACGCCGUAAACGAUGAGUGCUAAGCGUUAGGGGGUUUCCGCCCCCUUAGUGCUGCAGCUAACGCAUUAAGCACUCCGCCUGGGGAGUACGGCCGCAAGGCUG
RNAcentral lists this ribosomal RNA (373 nucleotides) under uncultured organism. Its description in RNAcentral is "partial 16S ribosomal RNA". It matches the Rfam family "Bacterial small subunit ribosomal RNA", at positions 527 to 896 of the family's 1533-position model. The record is from RNAcentral.